GUCUCUUAGGAUCCUUUGUAUUUCUGUGAUAUCUGUUGUUACUUCUCCUUUUUCAUUUCUAAUUUUAUUGAUUUGAGUCCUCUUUUUUGCUUGAUAAGUCUGGCUAGGGGUUUAUCAAUUUUGUUGAUCUUUUCAAAGAACCAGCUUUUCGUUUCAUUGAUCUUUUCUAUGGUUUUCUUUGUUUCUAUUUCAUUGAUUUCUGCUCUGAUCUUUAUUAUGGCUUUCCUUCUACUAACUUUAGGUCUUGUCUGUUCUCUCUCUAGCUGCUUUAGAUGUGAAGUUAGCUUGUUUAUUUGCGCUUUUUCUUGUUUCCUGAGGUGGGCUUGUAUUGCUAUAAACUUUCCUCUUAGAAUGGCUUUUGCUGCAUCCCAUAGGUUUUGGAGUGUCGUAUCUUUGUUGUCAUUUGCUUGUAGGUAUUUUUAAAUUUCCUCUUUGAUUUCUUCAGUGAUCCACUGGUUGUUUAGUAGCAUGUUAUUUAGUCUCCACGUGUUUGUGUUUUUUGCAGAUUUUUUCUUGUUGUUGGUUUCCAGUUGUAUAGCAUUGUGGUCAGAAAAGAUGCUUGAUAUGAUUUCAAUUUUCUUAAAGUUAUCAAGGUUGGAUUUGUAGCCCAGGAUGUGAUCAAUCUUAGAGAAUGUUCCAUGUGCACUUGAGAAGAAUGUGUAUUUUGUUGCUUUGGGAUGGAAUAUCCCAUAAAUAUCUAUUAAGUCCAUCUGGUCUAAUGCUUUAUUCAGGGCCUGUGUUUCCUUAUUGAUUUUCUGUCUGGAUGCUCUGUCCAUUGCAGUAAAUGGGGUGUUAAAUUCCCCCACUAUUAUUGUGUUAUUGUCGACUUCUCCUUUUAAGGUUGUUAGCAGUUGCCUUAUAUAUUGUGGUGAACCUAUGUUGGGUGUGUAGAUAUUUAAAAUUGGUAUAUCUUCUUCUUGGAUUGAUCCUUUGAUGAUUAUGUAGUGACCUUCCUUGUCCCUUAAAAUAUUCUUCAUUUUAAAGUCUAUUUUGUCUGAUAUGAGUAUUGCUACUCCAGCUUUCUUUUGAUUCCCUUUUGCAUGGAAUAUUUUCUUCACUUUCAAUUUGUAUGUGUCCCAAGAAGUGAAGUGGGUCUCUUGAAGACAACAUAUAAAUGGGUCUUGUUUUUGUAGCCAUUCAGCAAGUCUUUAUCUUUCAGUUGGGGCAUUUAGUCCAUGAACAUUUAAGGUAACUAUUGAUAUGUAUGUCCUUAUUGUCAUUUUUAUUAAUUGCUUUGGAUUUGUUUUUGUUGGUCUUUUUUCUUCUUCUGUUCUCUCCUCUUGUGGUUUGAUGACUAUCGUUAGUCUUGUACUUGAGUUGAUUUUUCUUAUUUGUUUGUGUAUUGACUGUAGAUUUUUGGUUUGCAGUUAUUCUGAAGUUUUGAUAUAAGACUCUCUGUGUAUACAAGAUUGUUUUGUUGGUCUCUUAAUUGCAAGUGCAUCUCCAGUGUCCUGCAUUUGUACCCUUCUCUUAUCACGAUUUCUGAUUUUAGUGGUAUAAUUGUACAUGGAUGAUUUCGUAUCUUUACUGUAUAUAUACCUUUACUGGUGAGCCUUGUCCUUUAUGAUAUUUUUGUUUCUGGUUGCAGCCUUUUCUUUUCUGUCUAGAGAAUUCCCUUUAGUAUUUGUUGUAAGGCAAGUUUAGUGUUGCUGAAUUCUCUUAGCCUUUGCUUAUCUGUGAAGCUUUUGAUAUCUCCUUCCAAUCUGAAUGAGAGCCUUGCUGGGUAAUGUAAUCUUGGUUGGAAGUUUUUUCCUUUCAUCACAUUAAGUAUAUCAUGCCACUCCCUUCUGGCCUGCAGAGUUUCUGCUGAAAAAUCUGCCAAUAACCUUAUUGGGGUUCCUUUAUGUGUUAUUUGUUUCUUUUCCCUAGCUGCUCUCAAGAUUUUCUCUUUAAUUUUUGUCCAUUUGAUUAAUAUGUGUCUCGGGGUAUUCCUCCUUGGGUUUAUUUUGUAUGGUACUGUACGUUGUGCUUCCUGGAUUUGAGUGAGUGGUUCCUUUCCCAUGUUAGGGAAGUUUUCGGCUAUUAUCUCUUGGAAUAUUUUUUUGUUCCCCUCUCUCUCUAUUCUCCUUUUAGCACCCCUAUAAUAUGGAUGUUGGGGCAUUUAACAUUCUCGCAGAGUUCUCUGAGACUCUCUUCAUUUGUUUUAAAUCUUUUUUCUCUUUUCUGUUCUGCAUCUGUAAUGUCCACUAAUCUGUCUUCCACCUCGCUUAUUCGUUCUUCUGCCUCCUGUAAUCUGCUGUUAGCUGUAUUUUUUAUUUCAGUUAUUGUAUUUUGCAUUCUCUUCUUGUUUUAUAUCUUACAUCUCUUUGCUCAGUAUUUCCUGUAAAUUAUCCAUCUUUGCCUCCAGUUUAUUUCCAGUGUCUUGCAUCUUCUUCAGCAUCAACAGUCUAAAGUCUUUUUACUGGAGGCUGAGAAUCUCAUCACUUAGCUGAUUUUCUGGGGGUUUUUCUUCCUCCCUCAUCUGAGUUAUAGUUCUCUGUCUUUUCAUAUUUAUAGGUUUUUGGUGUGGUGACCUUUUUGCAGAUAAUACAGUUGUAGCCCCUCUUACUUCUGAUAUCUGCCCCCCUUGUGGCUGAAGUCAGUAUGGGGGCUUGCUGUAGGCUUCCUGAUGGGAGGGGCUGAUGCCUGCCCACUGGUAGGUGGAGCUGAUUCCUAUCCCUCUGGUGGGUGGGGCUUUGCCUCUGGGUGAGAUUAGAGGCAGCUGUGUGCUUGGAGAGUCUGUAGGCAGCCUGUUUACUGAGGGGCAUGGCUGUAAUCCCACCUGGAUUGUUGUUUGCCCUGGGACUUCUCAGCACUGUCUGAUGAGUGGGGUCAGAUUUUCCCAAAAUGGCUACCCCCAGAGAAAGGCAUGCUGUGGAAUAUUCCUGAGAGCUUUGCUUCCAAUGUCCUUCCCCCACAACAAGCCAUAUUCACCCGUUUUCCUAGGAGGUCCUCCAAGAACUGUGGUCAGGUUUGACCCAGAUUCCUAUGGAGACUUUGCUUUGCCCUAGGACCCAGUGCACGUGAAAGUCUGUGUGCCCCUUUUAAGAAUGGGGUCUCCAUUUCCCCCAGUCCUGUGGAGCUCCUGCACACAAGCCCCACUGGCCUUCAAUGCCACAUGCUCCGCGGCUCUUUCUCCCAGGGCCAGAUUCCCACACAUGGGAGUUUGACGUGGGGCUCAGAACUCUCACUCCUGUAGGUGAGUCUCUGCAUACCAGUUACUUUCCAGUCUGUGGGGCUUCCCACCUGGGAGGUAUGGGGUUGCUUAUACCACGUAAUAUCCCCUCCAACAUCUUGAUGUGGCCUCCUCUUUGUCUUUUGGGGUAGGAUAUCUUUUUGAAAGUUUCCAGUGCAUUUGGUUGAAGAUUGCUCAGCAUUUGGUUGUAAAUUUUGUUUUUUUUUAGGAAAGAAGUUGAGCUCCAGUCCUUCUGUUCUGCCAUCUUAAUCCCCUCCCUCAAUCUGACUUUGAAAUGAAUAUAUAUGCCAGUUCUUUUUCUUUCCUUUCCUUAUCUCAUUCUCUUACUAUCUAGCACAUGUGAACAGUGGCUAACUUUAUAUUUCACUAUUUAGUUUACAGAAUGUCAGUGGAGAUCUCUCUCUCUCUAGAUGAGGAACUUCACACAAAGAUGGAUAAAGUGACAUGUGGGGUUUGAAUCCUCCACUGGGGAGAGUUUUGGUGCACUGCUUGUUAUAGAAGGGAUCUAGCAUCAAGGAACAUGAUUGAUAUUUUUUAAACAGAAGUUUUAAAUACAGCUGUGUUAAUAAAUGCCAAAUUGAUGAUGAUGAGUGGACUCAAAGUGGUUUGUACUCUGUUAACUCAUUAAGCUAGAAUUCUGUUUCCCAGUAUUUUUUUCCCCGUAUGAUUCUGGGUUAAAGUUGGCCAAGAGAGGAAUUUGUGUAAUAUUUGGAAGGCAGAAUUAGCAAAGCCAUUACUCUGUGAAGGUCAUCAUGCUUAGAUGUGGUAACAGCAGAGAGAAUAGUGGGUCCAAAUUGUCCUCACUCUCCUCUGCCAUGUUUCUGGUUCUUCUUCCAAAUGGCCAGAUUUUACUCCUAAUUGCUGACCCUGUUGACAAACAGUGGUCCCCGGGUUACCAGCAGAUGCUUGGCAGAAUACUGUCAAGGCAGUUGCUACCCAGGUACAGCUUCCUAUAGACAUUCCCAGAAGCCUUUCCUCCUCAGUCUCAUUGUGGCAGUUGGACAAGGUGGAUUCUUGGAUUAUCUGACUGAUGACUCCUCUGAUUCUCCAACUUCUCUCCUAAACCUUCAUUUCCCCAGCUUCUCCUACAACUACCUAAGAUAUAAUUCCUAUAAUAAAUCCCUUUCUCAUAUGUGAUAGUGAUUCAUUUUCCCUCAUCAAAACUUGACUAGUAUGAAAAGGAGAAAGUCCUGAUGGAUUUUGAGCCUGUUCUAUCUGCUUCUGAGGCCCAGUUACAAUCUUAUGCUUCCUGUAUUUAGUUGCUUACCCAUUAUUUGAAAUCUAUUUACGAAUAGUGUAAUUUUUCCUAAGCACACUUGAGUUAGUUUCCAGGUAUUUAUGAUUAAAAAAAAACUGUAACCAAUAUUGUAUGGCAAUGUUAAUUAUGGAUCUCUUGUAUUUCUUCAUGCUUGUAAGCAGAGACACAGAAUGCCAAACUCUUUUUAAGCAAAUAGUCCUGAAAUAUAUUGUGGCUUCCUAUGGUGUAAAGGGUAGGCAUGCUUACUGCCCAUUAUAAAAUACUUGGUUCCCCAAACUCAGAGUCACUUUCCUGUUAUGCAGUCCACCAGGUGGGUGUUAUUUGGGCCUCUUCUCACUGCCCUGUAAGAACUAGGAUCAGGAAAUGAUGCAAAAAUGAAGAUACUCUGCUAUUGCUAUUGCUAUGAAUAAUAAACUGUCCUUUGUCACUGACCUAAGAGACAUGAAACUGUUGCAAGUUAACUUGUCAGCUGGUACAGAUGGUGAAAAAUCCUUCACAGUUCUUGAAAAUAAGAUUAUUUUAGACUUGUAAUUUCACAUGUAAUACUCAUUAGGCUUUUCAAAGAGAACAACAAAUAUACCUAUGAUACAAAGUAACAUUUUAAUAAACAAGUAAAUGUAUUAGGUUGUGAAAAUUAUCAAUUUAUUAUAUCACUACAGUGUAAAAAUUACUUUAAGUGUGAAGAUCUCUUCUCAUUUAUAAUGACUACGAAUUUGGUUAGGAUGCCUCAGUUAUAGCACAAGAAACAAAUUCUUGUUUUAUACAGAAAGCAUAAUUUAAAAAUUACAAGGAUACUUUACCAAAGCUAAGGAAAAAAGUUAAAAACAGGCCUUGAGAAUGAUGGCCAGUAAAAGAAGUCAAAUCUUCUUAGCUCAAGCCAAAAAGGGAAUUUAUAGUUAGGAUACAAGUGUGCCUUACUAAGCAAGAGCAGGAUUCAUGGAAUAAGGGAAUGUAGCACUGUGAGAAAGCCAAGAAUCACAUUCUCCUGACCUCUUAUAUCUUUUCUUCACUUUGUAAAUAUUUCACUGCUCUCUCUCACUGCAGAUUUGCUGUUUUUUUCUUCCUAAACCACAAGGUUGGACAUGGCAGCCCUAUAGCACAUAUAUACACCAUGUGUAAGUUUCUGGGCCAAGGCUCCAAUAAGCACUACAGCAGCAACCCAGACUGCAGCAGUGACAAUA
RNAcentral lists this long non-coding RNA (5614 nucleotides) under Sus scrofa (pig). Its description in RNAcentral is "lncRNA (ENSSSCG00000053880.1)". The record is from RNAcentral. Lineage: Eukaryota; Metazoa; Chordata; Mammalia; Artiodactyla; Suidae.